RNAcentral lists this ribosomal RNA (425 nucleotides) under uncultured bacterium. RNAcentral describes it as "partial 16S ribosomal RNA". It matches the Rfam family "Bacterial small subunit ribosomal RNA", at positions 354 to 796 of the family's 1533-position model. The record is from RNAcentral.
GUGGGGAAUCUUAGACAAUGGGCGCAAGCCUGAUCUAGCCAUGCCGCGUGAGCGAUGAAGGCCUUAGGGUUGUAAAGCUCUUUCAGCUGGGAAGAUAAUGACGGUACCAGCAGAAGAAGCCCCGGCUAACUCCGUGCCAGCAGCCGCGGUAAUACGGAGGGGGCUAGCGUUGUUCGGAAUUACUGGGCGUAAAGCGCACGUAGGCGGACCGGAAAGUCAGAGGUGAAAUCCCAGGGCUCAACCUUGGAACUGCCUUUGAAACUCCUGGUCUUGAGGUCGAGAGAGGUGAGUGGAAUUCCGAGUGUAGAGGUGAAAUUCGUAGAUAUUCGGAGGAACACCAGUGGCGAAGGCGGCUCACUGGCUCGAUACUGACGCUGAGGUGCGAAAGCGUGGGGAGCAAACAGGAUUAGAUACCCUAGUAGUCC